Long non-coding RNA from Triticum aestivum (bread wheat), 5806 nucleotides. RefSeq lists it as uncharacterized. The record is from RefSeq and is a predicted model, not a curated record. NCBI's taxonomy places the organism in Eukaryota, Viridiplantae, Streptophyta, Magnoliopsida, Poales, Poaceae. The transcript is spliced from 2 exons.
GUUGCCGCUGAUCCCCUCCUCCAUCUCCCUCCCUCAAACGCCGCCGCCCGUCGCUGCCGCCGCGGCCACCUCCCGUCGCGGCCGGCCCCGCCACCUCCCGUCGCGGCCGCCGCGCCCAGCUCCAACCGGGGCCGCCGCCCCAGCUCCAGCCGCGGCCGUCGCGCUCACCUCCAGCCACAGCCGCCGCCCCACCUCCAGCCGCGGCUGCCGCCCCCACGUCCCACCGCGGCCGCUGCCCUGCCCCCUCAAGCGUCCUCAAGUGCGGCAAGGGCCUCAAGCUGCAGAAGCGCCUGGCCUCGAGCGUCCUCAAGUGCGGCAAGGGCAAGGUCUGGCUCGACCCCAAUGAGGUUAACCCACCCCCUUCCUCUCUCUCCCUCGUCGCGUGUCUCGAUUUUCUCGCGUAUUCCGUAGAUCUGUGGGCAGGUGGUGCUCCACGCGGUUUAGGUGAUUCGAGGCGGGUAGAUCCCUGCUUGCUUGUGCGGCGCUUGCUCAUAGAUCACAUGAGCAGCCUUGGGUUGCUUUGGUGGCGGUUUAUUUCUUGCGCUUGUGACGAUGCAAUUCGACCCUGAUUCCUGGCCUUGCGCUGUUCUUGAUGCCCGCUGCUGCUGUUCCUGAUGCCCGCUGCUGCUGCUGCUUUCAUGGCGGUUUAUUUCUUUGAUAUCAGGAAGGAAUUCAGGAUGAACAGGAUGCCGUCAUCCCUUCUUGUUGAUGCUUUGUUCAUCACAUCAGGAUUCCUGUUGUCGCAUGGAUUCGAUUGGUGUCUAUGGAUGUCUCUUUCUGCAUGUGUGCACAUGUCCCAGUGGAUUUUGCAGCUGUGCACCAACUUAUUUUUGGCGACCAAACACCAUCGUUUGUAAAUUAAUUCACCGUUACUGUUGCUGUUUUGAUCCAAAUUAGAGUGAGUCCUGAAAUCUGUUGUUCUAGGAGUUGAGUCCUAUUUGGCGUGCAUUCCUAACUACAGAAAUCUGUUGUCCCCAAAUCUGUUGUUCGAGGAUGUAGAGCUCCGGGAGUGCGGCACCGAUGAGGAACCUGCCCACGAUGUGUGCGGCAAGGAGGAGGUGCUCGGGGCCGAGGAAGACGGGCGCGGAUGGGUUGGGCUUCCCGGGGCGUUGCGGGAAGGCGAGCGUAGCCAGGAGGAGUAGGUAGGGAAAGGAUGGCGGCUCGCCGACAGGUCAUCGACGCCUCCUUGAACCAAUGCCAAGGAGGUCUAUGUCGCAGCUUUGAAGGCGCCUGACAAGCCCAUCGUCGCGCCGCCGACCUGCUGACAUUCGAGGUCGGCACCCGUGCGAACUCAGAAAUGUACAAAGGACUGGCAUGUGUCAUCUAUAGCAUGUCCCCUUUGUUUGAAUGUUCAACUAGAAGAGUUUCAUCUCAUUUGGCAAGGAGCACUGCAAUAAUACAUGCAACUCUUCACAGCUACUAACAUGAAGUUGCACUCAGGCUCUCGCAUGGACUAAAGAGUUAUUGUCGGUAUGUAUCAUUGUUUAAUUUUUAAAGUCUAUAGGUUUAUUUAUAUGGCAAGUAUUGAUCUCAAGGACAAGAUUGAUGUAACUACUGUCACCCAUUCAAAAAUUUCUUUAGAGGAAUUACAACAGGUAUUUUGCUGACCUGAACAUUGAAAUAAUGAGUACAAAAGGUUCAGGGCAUAUGCGAAUAAUUGAAUUUUGUAUUUGCGGACAAGGGAGAAAUGCCUAAAUUAGAAGGCAGAGUAGAAUUUUAUACUCUGUUGUUGCAGUGUGGCUUUUGGGAAUAAUUAGCACGAUUAUCCCAGAGGUGAAACUUAGACACCACCAUGGAUUUGUCUGGCUAUGAAUCAUGGUCAUGAAAUACGUUCAUGUUGUUCCCUUUCCAGAUGCUUUAGAACAGACCAGCGAUGAUGCUGGAAUAAGAGGUUCUCAAUUCCCUUUUAUGUCAUAGUUCAUAAUACAACACACAUAUACUGCAACCUCUUAAAUUAUAAAAGUAUUGUCUCAUAGAUUAUAAAAUUUCAUGAUAUCAAAUUGUAUGUACUGCAAAUUUUCUCCUUUUUACUGCCUGCUUGAUUGUAUAAAUAGAAUAACUAGAUAAUGAUGCUCCAUGCAUUACUAGAGCUGUUGAUAGCUUCUCCACCUAGAUUAUUUUACACUCCCUUGUUAGGAGAAUUUAGCUUAGAUAUUUAGGUGCAACACAUGUACUGCGAAGCGAGAUAUUUAGUUUGUUUUUCUUGGGUAAACCAUACUCUCGACAUUCCACAACCUCUACUACUAAAGGUAUAAUUUGAUUACUUAACUUCAUACUUUUACCAUAAAUCUCUGGAAAAAAAUUAAUUGAUUGUUAAAAGUCAUGUGCUGCUGCAUUGGACUAUGAGCUUGAAAAAAGAGCACCUACCUAAUACCUACAGAGGUGGCCAAUCCUUCCAGUGACCUAUAUAUGUAAGUAUGUAAGUUAGGCUCGAUUCCAAGUUAGCCUAUACUAUUUCUGUCACCACUUGCAAAUAUAUUUUAAUAUAAUAGAACUCCUAUAGUUGUCUUCAAUAGAGAGGGAAUAAAUCUCUAACGAAUAUUUUGGUACAUUCAUGCUAUCUAUCUUUUGCAUUUAAAAUAGAACAUGCAAUAGGCAGUCAUAGCAAAUCUAUAUACUGCAUAAACCUUUACUUGAAAUGAUUAAAUCACAUAAAUUGUCCCGUCCAUUAUAAUUGAUGAUGUCUAUACAAUCAACCCAGCAAACAAAUAUUAGGCCAAAUGAUCACACACAGAACCAACAAAAACCUUAGUUCCAUAUGAAGCUGCCUAACAGAAUCCAUAACAUACAUCGACUAAUAAAGCUUCAGCCUGCUUCAAUUUAAUAGUAGAGCGCGUUCAGGAAUCAAAAUCAUGCAAAUUGGUUAUUUAUUGUAGUUGGAAAAGAACUAUUGUUAAAGCAGAGCCUGCGGUUAAGAAGUUCAUAAGUCUUAGACGCUUCUUUUUGGCGUAUUGAAUGUGCAGGAAUUGAUACAAUAAAGUUUCAAUAAGAUGUCAUCAUUAUAUCCAUUGUCAAUUUAGCUGAUCAUUUUUUAGCAAAAAUUCUACGAAACUUGUAACGUAUCGUGUUGAAAAUCUGUGAGGAAUAGUUAAUGACCCUUUGACCCAAUACACUUUGAUCAUUGAUAAAUUUCUAUGUGUUAGUUGUCCCGUGACACGGAUCACUUGUUCCUGGAACUUCCCUAGCUGAAGGAGAAACUGGAGAAGUACAUUGACGAGGCCUCGGCGACUGGAUCAUGGAGCCCAAACGUGCUUCGCACCACCACGGAUGCUUGAUUGAAAGAAGGGUUGGAGCCUCGCUGCAUCACCAGGGAUUUGAAAUGGGACGUCCCUGUCCCACACGAGAAGUACAAGGAUAAGGUUUGCCAUCUGAGCACACAGAGAUUCAUUGUGAAAAUUUAUCUCUCUCCAUGUUGUAUUAAUGUUUGUCCAUGUGAUGAACCGUUCCCAAUUAGCUUGGCCAUCUGCAUUAGUCAUGAUUUGCUACUGAUUCUUUUUGGUUUAUUAUGUAUCUUUGACUAUCCAACUCCAUGGACAUGUUUUUAUUUUCCUGUUGUCUUGAGAGCACACAUAUGGAACUGUGCAGGGCAUGUUGAGCUAUACAUGGAGUAUAUAUCUAUUGAGUUCUGCAGUUAUUUUCAAUUUCGAUGGUGGAAAUGAUUUAAGGAUAAGUUGGAGGAAUGCCUCGAAGAUGUUUUAUAAUCUUUAAAAAUAGUGGAUGGUCUGAGGUACUGCAUCUUUUGCCUUUUAUCUGAACACUUGCAGCCAAAAAUUUUAUCCCACUGUGAGUUGUUUUGUGCACAUGCUGCGUUAUGUGUAGAUAUGGAUGAGGAAAAUUCCGUGCCUACAACAUUAUUUGUGUCUGACCCUGUCCGAGGAUCCUGUGGCAUGCUCUGAUUUGUUUCAGAGUUCGGAUGUUUCGAUGUUGUGCAUCGUGUGCUUUUGAGGCAGCAGAAGGUUGUACACAUAUCAACGUCUAUGGGUGAAGAUAUCCUACCAUAUCUAGAACCGCACAAGGCGCUUGUGCCUGAUGCCCCUUUCCUCCAUGUCCGUGAGGAGAAUCCCUAUAGUAUGCAGGUAUUUUGUUAAUCCCCUCUUAUAUUAUUUAAAUCUCAGCAAGACAACCACAUAUGAGGCAGGAACUGCAACGACCAUUGUCUUCUAUAUCUGCUUGUGUUAACUUCCAUUACUUUUAGCAUGUGGGAUAUAUGAUGUGAGGGAACGAACAUGCCAUAAGGCACAUGUGAGUCCCCUAGGUGCUCUUUGUAUUACUAUUCUUCUUAUUCGGCUGGUUUUGAUCUUCUUAAUCCUUUUCGCAUUAAUACCGUUUGUAGUUUGUGAGAUCUUUCUCUGACCACAUGCAAGCUCCACCAUCCCAUUCUUUGUUAUUUUAUUUCCAACUUUAAGACGAUUUUAUCUUUCAAACCAAAAGUACAAUUUAUGAUCCGUUUGCAUAUUGUGAUUAUGACGAGGAGAACUUCAAAACAACACCACUUCUGAAUGUGUCUCAGCAUGUUCUAAAAAAAUCAAAUUCUAAAACACAAUGAAACACUAUUAAAAGUACAGAAAACUAUGAGAUAUUUUGUCAAACACGAUAAAAGUUCAAAGUUCUGUUAGAAUGACUCAUUAUUGAAUUGUUGCAUCAAAUUAUUAAAUUUAUAUGAAACAAAUUUGAAGCAUAUGUGAGUUUAUAGGAUAUAUGUUUUAUUAAUCUAUGUACACAAAGCCAAUGUUUUUAACAAAAAGAAAGAUUAUGCUUAUACUUCAUUAUGCAUCCUGUACAUAUAUAAUGGUAUAGAUAAUUCCAUUGCGUGUGAAUGAACGGCGCAUUGAGAAUGGCGCCAGAACAAAACCAUGGAAGCGAACUCCUUUUGCUUGUAUCACAAAUUUUGUGCCAUGGUGCAAAAAGAGAGCAAGUGCAUGUGUAUGUUCAGAUAUGGUGAAACCAAAUAAGGUUGCAACUAACAUGUUAUAUUGACUUUCAGUUAUGAACCUUAUGACUCUGAUGCUCUCAAGUUUGGCAACAGUUUGUACUAAGGGCCUGUUCGGCAAUGCUCCGGCUCUCAACUUCCAUUAACUCCGCAGUGAAGUUGAGCCGAACGAGCAAACUCCGUGGAGCUCAAAUCAAGAAGCUGGCUAUUCUGUUAGUGCAAAUUUGAGUAGUAGUUUAUAUUGUAUGUAUAUUGUUGGGUAGUAGUUUUUCCCACUAGAUCUGAAUAUUAGGAAGGAUAUAUCUUGUAGCUGGUCAGAUUCAGAACUCAUGUCGUGAUUUCUUAAGGGCCUAAUGAUUGUUGUUGUUUUUUCCUUUCAAAAAUUGAAACUCCUAGGUGAUUAUCGUAACUAUCAUAAUUGUAUAAGCAAGAUUAUCAGAAUAACUAAGCAACUAUUUUAGACUCACUUUCUAUGCCAAGCUGGAAAAUUGACAUGCCUUAUGAUUAUAUAUGCAACCAGUAUUUUUUUUGAAAUGCCAGUGGCAACGCAUCCGUUACAUGUUUUGAGACCUAAGGCGUGAAAUUUUCAUACUAACUACAUAUAUUGUUUGUGCAGGAUGGGUAUGAUUUGAGGAAGCGGUUUUUAUCAUACUUGCUAAAACAUCGUGGGAAAUGAAGCUAAAGGCAAUUUUCCUGACAUUGUGAAAGAAUUUCUUAAGCGCAUCAUCUAGAUAUUGAUAGUUUUGUAAAAGAUGUUUAGUUGAAACAUCACUCAGUUUGUUACAUGGACAUGUCGUUAAUCUUUCUUUUUGUUAUCAAUUUACAUUGCAAAAAUAGACUUCAAUUAUUCAAUAAUUGUGUUUGUGUUAUAUUUUU